CCUACGGGAGGCAGCAGUGGGGAAUAUUGGACAAUGGGGGCAACCCUGAUCCAGCCAUGCCGCGUGUGUGAAGAAGGCCCUCGGGUUGUAAAGCACUUUCAGUGAGGAAGAACGCCUGGUGGUUAAUACCCAUCAGGAAGGACAUCACUCACAGAAGAAGCACCGGCUAACUCCGUGCCAGCAGCCGCGGUAAUACGGAGGGUGCGAGCGUUAAUCGGAAUUACUGGGCGUAAAGCGCGCGUAGGUGGCUUGAUAAGCCGGUUGUGAAAGCCCCGGGCUCAACCUGGGAACGGCAUCCGGAACUGUCUAGCUAGAGUGCAAGAGAGGAAUGUAGAAUUCCCGGUGUAGCGGUGAAAUGCGUAGAGAUCGGGAGGAAUACCAGUGGCGAAGGCGGCCUUCUGGACUGACACUGACACUGAGGUGCGAAAGCGUGGGUAGCAAACAGGAUUAGAUACCCCGGUAGUC
Molecule: ribosomal RNA, 465 nt
Filed under: Vreelandella stevensii
Lineage: Bacteria; Pseudomonadati; Pseudomonadota; Gammaproteobacteria; Oceanospirillales; Halomonadaceae
Description: partial 16S ribosomal RNA
Rfam family: Bacterial small subunit ribosomal RNA
Source: RNAcentral